This 925-nucleotide long non-coding RNA is filed under the name Brassica napus (rape). Its description in RNAcentral is "long non-coding RNA (BNAP_LNC011445)". The record is from RNAcentral. Lineage: Eukaryota; Viridiplantae; Streptophyta; Magnoliopsida; Brassicales; Brassicaceae.
CUAAGACUUGACUUCAUUUUCUUUUGUUAUUUGCAUUUUUCAACAAAGUAAAAACAUAACUUUUUUGUCUCCAAGUUUCAUAGUUUUAUCGGAAUAAAUGAUAUCAUGAUUUGAUCUUUUCCCUAUUAAAAUAAAAUACACUAACUGUGGGCCUGCACCUUGUGAAUGAAUAUAUAUAACCUUAAUAUUAAUUUUUAUACUUAUGCUAAUUUAUUUAUUUAAUUAAAUAUACAUAUUAAAUCUUUUUGUGAGUUUUUUUUUCGGUUUUGUUAACCAAAUCACAAUUACUUAUUCUUUUUCUUAUUGUUUAUACAUGACUUUUUAUCUAAUUUUUUUUUUUGCUUGAUUGAAUCUAAAUUCAACCGUUUCUUCUAAUUUUAAAGAGCGGUAAUAUUUGUCUAUUUUAACAUUUUGGCUCGAUCUUGCAUCAGUUUUUUAGAGUUUUAUUUAUUUAUAUGGAGUUCUGAAUAGGGCAAAUCUCCAAAAUAGCACAUUUCUAAGUUUAUAUCACAAAAAUAGCACUCAAAAACUAAAAUGACCAAAAUAGCACAUUUCUAAGUUUAUAUCACAAAAAUAGCACUCAAAAACUAAAAUGACCAAAAUAGCACAUUUCUAAGUUUAUAUCACAAAAAUAGCACUCAAAAACUAAAAUGACCAAAAUAGCACAUUUCUAAGUUUAUCUUUUGAAAAUUUUAAUUUUUUUAUUUUUCAAAAUAUGAAAUCUUAUCCCCAAAACCUCAUUUCUCAACUCUAAACCCUAAACUCUAAACUCUAAACCCUAAACCAUAAACUCUAAACCCUAAACCCUAAAUUCUAAACCCUAAACCCUAAACCCUAAACCCUAAAAUCUAAACCCUAAACCCUAAACUCUAAACCCUAAACCCUAAACCCUAAAUCCUAAACCCCACCCUUUAACUCUAAACUC